GGGUGGUAAUGCCGGAUGCUCCAGUUGAUCGCAUGGUCUUCUGGGAAAGCUUUCGCGGUAUGGGAUGGGGUCGCGUCCUAUCAGCUUGACGGCGGGGUAACGGCCCACCGUGGCUUCGACGGGUAGCCGGCCUGAGAGGGCGACCGGCCACAUUGGGACUGAGAUACGGCCCAGACUCCUACGGGAGGCAGCAGUGGGGAAUAUUGCACAAUGGGCGCAAGCCUGAUGCAGCGACGCCGCGUGAGGGAUGGAGGCCUUCGGGUUGUAAACCUCUUUUAUCGGGGAGCAAGCGAGAGUGAGUUUACCCGUUGAAUAAGCACCGGCUAACUACGUGCCAGCAGCCGCGGUAAUACGUAGGGUGCAAGCGUUAUCCGGAAUUAUUGGGCGUAAAGGGCUCGUAGGCGGUUCGUCGCGUCCGGUGUGAAAGUCCAUCGCUUAACGGUGGAUCCGCGCCGGGUACGGGCGGGCUUGAGUGCGGUAGGGGAGACUGGAAUUCCCGGUGUAACGGUGGAAUGUGUAGAUAUCGAAAAAAAACACCA
Molecule: ribosomal RNA, 539 nt
Filed under: Bifidobacterium longum subsp. infantis
Lineage: Bacteria; Bacillati; Actinomycetota; Actinomycetes; Bifidobacteriales; Bifidobacteriaceae
Description: bacterial SSU rRNA
Rfam family: Bacterial small subunit ribosomal RNA
Source: RNAcentral